GGUUAAGUUAGAAAGGGCGCACGGUGGAUGCCUUGACACUAGGAGUCGAUGAAGGACGGGACUAACGCCGAUAUGCUUCGGGGAGCUGUAAGUAAGCUUUGAUCCGAAGAUUUCCGAAUGGGGAAACCCACCAUACGUAAUGGUAUGGUAUCCUUAUCUGAAUACAUAGGGUAAGGAAGACAGACCCAGGGAACUGAAACAUCUAAGUACCUGGAGGAAGAGAAAGCAAAUGCGAUUUCCUGAGUAGCGGCGAGCGAAACGGAACAUAGCCCAAACCAAGAGGCUUGCCUCUUGGGGUUGUAGGACAUUCUAUACGGAGUUACAAAGGAACGAGGUAGACGAAGCGACCUGGAAAGGUCCGUCGUAGAGGGUAAUAACCCCGUAGUCGAAACUUCGUUCUCUCUUGAAUGUAUCCUGAGUACGGCGGAACACGUGAAAUUCCGUCGGAAUCUGGGAGGACCAUCUCCCAAGGCUAAAUACUCCCUAGUGAUCGAUAGUGAACCAGUACCGUGAGGGAAAGGUGAAAAGCACCCCGGAAGGGGAGUGAAAGAGAUCCUGAAACCGUGUGCCUACAAAUAGUCAGAGCCCGUUAACGGGUGAUGGCGUGCCUUUUGUAGAAUGAACCGGCGAGUUACGAUCCCGUGCGAGGUUAAGCUGAAGAGGCGGAGCCGCAGCGAAAGCGAGUCUGAAUAGGGCGUUUAGUACGUGGUCGUAGACCCGAAACCAGGUGAUCUACCCAUGUCCAGGGUGAAGUUCAGGUAACACUGAAUGGAGGCCCGAACCCACGCACGUUGAAAAGUGCGGGGAUGAGGUGUGGGUAGCGGAGAAAUUCCAAUCGAACCUGGAGAUAGCUGGUUCUCCCCGAAAUAGCUUUAGGGCUAGCCUUAAGUGUAAGAGUCUUGGAGGUAGAGCACUGAUUGGACUAGGGGUCCUCAUCGGAUUACCGAAUUCAGUCAAACUCCGAAUGCCAAUGACUUAUCCUUAGGAGUCAGACUGCGAGUGAUAAGAUCCGUAGUCAAAAGGGAAACAGCCCAGACCGCCAGCUAAGGUCCCAAAGUGUGUAUUAAGUGGAAAAGGAUGUGGAGUUGCUUAGACAACUAGGAUGUUGGCUUAGAAGCAGCCACCAUUUAAAGAGUGCGUAAUAGCUCACUAGUCGAGUGACUCUGCGCCGAAAAUGUACCGGGGCUAAAUACACCACCGAAGCUGCGGAUUGAUACCAAUGGUAUCAGUGGUAGGGGAGCGUUCUAAGGACAGUGAAGUCAGACCGGAAGGACUGGUGGAGUGCUUAGAAGUGAGAAUGCCGGUAUGAGUAGCGAAAGACGGGUGAGAAUCCCGUCCACCGAAUGCCUAAGGUUUCCUGAGGAAGGCUCGUCCGCUCAGGGUUAGUCAGGACCUAAGCCGAGGCCGACAGGCGUAGGCGAUGGACAACAGGUUGAUAUUCCUGUACCACCUCUUUAUCGUUUGAGCAAUGGAGGGACGCAGAAGGAUAGAAGAAGCGUGCGAUUGGUUGUGCACGUCCAAGCAGUUAGGCUGAUAAGUAGGCAAAUCCGCUUAUCGUGAAGGCUGAGCUGUGAUGGGGAAGCUCCUUAUGGAGCGAAGUCUUUGAUUCCCCGCUGCCAAGAAAAGCUUCUAGCGAGAUAAAAGGUGCCUGUACCGCAAACCGACACAGGUAGGCGAGGAGAGAAUCCUAAGGUGUGCGAGAGAACUCUGGUUAAGGAACUCGGCAAAAUGACCCCGUAACUUCGGGAGAAGGGGUGCUUUCUUAACGGAAAGCCGCAGUGAAUAGGCCCAAGCGACUGUUUAGCAAAAACACAGCUCUCUGCGAAGCCGUAAGGCGAAGUAUAGGGGGUGACACCUGCCCGGUGCUGGAAGGUUAAGGAGAGGGGUUAGCGUAAGCGAAGCUCUGAACUGAAGCCCCAGUAAACGGCGGCCGUAACUAUAACGGUCCUAAGGUAGCGAAAUUCCUUGUCGGGUAAGUUCCGACCCGCACGAAAGGUGUAACGAUUUGGGCACUGUCUCAACCAGAGACUCGGUGAAAUUAUAGUACCUGUGAAGAUGCAGGUUACCCGCGACAGGACGGAAAGACCCCGUGGAGCUUUACUGUAGCCUGAUAUUGAAUUUUGGUACAGUUUGUACAGGAUAGGCGGGAGCCAUUGAAACCGGAGCGCUAGCUUCGGUGGAGGCGCUGGUGGGAUACCGCCCUGACUGUAUUGAAAUUCUAACCUACGGGUCUUAUCGACCCGGGAGACAGUGUCAGGUGGGCAGUUUGACUGGGGCGGUCGCCUCCUAAAGUGUAACGGAGGCGCCCAAAGGUUCCCUCAGAAUGGUUGGAAAUCAUUCGUAGAGUGCAAAGGCAUAAGGGAGCUUGACUGCGAGACCUACAAGUCGAGCAGGGACGAAAGUCGGGCUUAGUGAUCCGGUGGUUCCGCAUGGAAGGGCCAUCGCUCAACGGAUAAAAGCUACCCCGGGGAUAACAGGCUUAUCUCCCCCAAGAGUCCACAUCGACGGGGAGGUUUGGCACCUCGAUGUCGGCUCAUCGCAUCCUGGGGCUGUAGUCGGUCCCAAGGGUUGGGCUGUUCGCCCAUUAAAGCGGUACGCGAGCUGGGUUCAGAACGUCGUGAGACAGUUCGGUCCCUAUCCGUCGUGGGCGUAGGAAAUUUGAGAGGAGCUGUCCUUAGUACGAGAGGACCGGGAUGGACGCACCGCUGGUGUACCAGUUGUUCUGCCAAGGGCAUAGCUGGGUAGCUAUGUGCGGAAGGGAUAAGUGCUGAAAGCAUCUAAG
Molecule: ribosomal RNA, 2782 nt
Filed under: Bacillus cereus
Lineage: Bacteria; Bacillati; Bacillota; Bacilli; Caryophanales; Bacillaceae
Description: bacterial LSU rRNA
Rfam family: Bacterial large subunit ribosomal RNA
Source: RNAcentral